CAGGACUCAAACUGGACUAGGUCCACAAUGCUGGUAGUGAUGCUCACAGGACUGGGAGGUCGGGACUCAAGAAUAACGGGACAAACAGGAUUACUGGGCCUCACUUUUCUCCUAGUGGUGCUCCGAGGGUUGCUCGGCCUCCCCUCAGGUCUGGAAGGCUGUACGUCAGGCUGGACCAGGCCAACGGGGCUAACAGGCCGUCUAGUGGGGCGUCGAGAGUUGCUCGGCCUCCCCUCAGGUCUGGAAGGCUGUACGUCAGGCUGGACCAGGACAACUGGUCUAACAGGCCGUCUUGUGGGGCGUCGAGGGUUGCUAGGCCUCCCCUCAGGUCUAGUGAUGCUGACAGGGAUUCUAGGAAUCAUCAUCUCAUGCUGGUGCAGGCUCUCUGGGCUGCUGGGCCGGGAAUCAGGUAGAAGCUUGUAGUUCUUCAG
Molecule: long non-coding RNA, 431 nt
Filed under: Salmo salar (Atlantic salmon)
Lineage: Eukaryota; Metazoa; Chordata; Actinopteri; Salmoniformes; Salmonidae
Description: lncRNA (ENSSSAG00000098993.1)
Source: RNAcentral